GCCUGGCUAGCUCAGUGGGGAGAACAUGGGACUGUGAAUCUCAGGGUCAUGAGUUCAAGCCCCACGUUGAGCA
Molecule: transfer RNA, 73 nt
Filed under: Mustela putorius furo (domestic ferret)
Lineage: Eukaryota; Metazoa; Chordata; Mammalia; Carnivora; Mustelidae
Rfam family: tRNA
About the family: Transfer RNA (tRNA) molecules are approximately 80 nucleotides in length. Their secondary structure includes four short double-helical elements and three loops (D, anti-codon, and T loops).
Source: Rfam by way of RNAcentral